Molecule: ribosomal RNA, 454 nt
Filed under: uncultured bacterium
Lineage: Bacteria
Description: bacterial SSU rRNA
Rfam family: Bacterial small subunit ribosomal RNA
Source: RNAcentral
ACGAGUUUGAUCCUGGCUCAGAACGAACGCUGGCGGCAGGCCUAACACAUGCAAGUCGAGCGAGGACUUCGGUCCUAGCGGCGGACGGGUGAGUAACGCGUGGGAAUAUGCCCUUUUCUACGGAAUAGCCUCGGGAAACUGGGAGUAAUACCGUAUACGCCCUACGGGGGAAAGAUUUAUCGGAGAAGGAUUAGCCCGCGUUGGAUUAGGUAGUUGGUGGGGUAAUGGCCUACCAAGCCGACGAUCCAUAGCUGGUUUGAGAGGAUGAUCAGCCACACUGGGACUGAGACACGGCCCAGACUCCUACGGGAGGCAGCAGUGGGGAAUCUUAGACAAUGGGGGAAACCCUGAUCUAGCCAUGCCGCGUGAGCGAUGAAGGCCUUAGGGUUGUAAAGCUCUUUCAGCUGGGAAGAUAAUGACGGUACCAGCAGAAGAAGCCCCGGCUAACUCCGUG